UUGAACGCUGGCGGCAGGCCUAACCCCUGCAAGUCGAGCGGAUGAAGGGAGCUUGCUCCUGGAUUCAGCGGCGGACGGGUGAGUAAUGCCUAGGAAUCUGCCUGGUAGUGGGGGAUAACGUCCGGAAACGGGCGCUAAUACCGCAUACGUCCUGAGGGAGAAAGUGGGGGAUCUUCGGACCUCACGCUAUCAGAUGAGCCUAGGUCGGAUUAGCUAGUUGGUGGGGUAAAGGCCUACCAAGGCGACGAUCCGUAACUGGUCUGAGAGGAUGAUCAGUCACACUGGAACUGAGACACGGUCCAGACUCCUACGGGAGGCAGCAGUGGGGAAUAUUGGACAAUGGGCGAAAGCCUGAUCCAGCCAUGCCGCGUGUGUGAAGAAGGUCUUCGGAUUGUAAAGCACUUUAAGUUGGGAGGAAGGGCAGUAAGUUAAUACCUUGCUGUUUUGACGUUACCAACAGAAUAAGCACCGGCUAACUUCGUG
This 483-nucleotide ribosomal RNA is filed under the name uncultured bacterium. Its description in RNAcentral is "partial 16S ribosomal RNA". It matches the Rfam family "Bacterial small subunit ribosomal RNA", at positions 30 to 507 of the family's 1533-position model. The record is from RNAcentral.